RNAcentral lists this unclassified non-coding RNA (231 nucleotides) under Hevea brasiliensis (rubber tree). Lineage: Eukaryota; Viridiplantae; Streptophyta; Magnoliopsida; Malpighiales; Euphorbiaceae. The record is from RNAcentral.
GGCGGCGAUGAAGGCGAAGUCCGGCGAUUGAGCCCGUUAUUCUCCCUGCUAGGGAAAGUGAAUUACAUGGGAGAAAGUGGGAAAGGGCAAUUUGCGAAGCUGGCGAAUCAGAUCACCAUAGCUUCGACAAUGGUGGGACUGGUGGAAGGUAUGAUUUACGCUCACAAAGCAGGGCUUGACGUGGGUUUGUUCUUGAACGCCAUAUCAACAGGAGCAGCAGGAUCAAAAUCG